RNAcentral lists this small RNA (685 nucleotides) under Pongo abelii (Sumatran orangutan). RNAcentral's name for it is "processed transcript". Lineage: Eukaryota; Metazoa; Chordata; Mammalia; Primates; Hominidae. The record is from RNAcentral.
UCUGUUACAUUUUUUAUUUUCUGUAAAUUGCAUUUAAACCACAGUUCUUCCAAGAAGGAUUUCCGUCGUUACCGUACCAUUUUAUUCAGUAUAUUGUUAGCAUUUAUAUACUAUAUUCCUGAUUGCCAUGUGUGGGUACUUUGUUUUGAUUUCAUGUCUGUUUACUCUGUCCCCAGUUAGACUUAAUUCCACAAGGGCAAAGAUCCUAUCUUCUGUUUCAUUGAGACCCUCCCAUUCCUUUCAAUUUUGCACUCUGUGGACAUUUGAGUCAAUCAUCUAUUGACAUGUGAUUCUAGCAGGGUACAGGUGCUUGGCCCUGCCAUGGCAUUUCUCUUAACCUUGUUUCUCAUUUGCCAUCCACCUCAUUUUCUAUAGACCCAAAGCUUAUGAAAGAAGAACAAAUGUCACAGGCCCAGCUCUUCACCAGAAGCUUUGAUGAUGGCCUAGGCUUUGAAUACGUGAUGUUCUACAAUGACGUUGAGAAAAGGAUGGUUUGCUUAUUUCAAGGAGGCCCUUACCUGGAAGGACCACCUGGAUUCAUUCAUGGAGGUGCCAUUGCAACUAUGAUUGAUGCUACUGUUGGUAUGUGUGCAAUGAUGGCUGGGGGAAUUGUCAUGACUGCCAAUCUCAACAUCAAUUAUAAAAGACCUAUCCCUCUUUGUUCUGUUGUUAUGAUAAAUAGCCA